Long non-coding RNA from Prosopis cineraria, 483 nucleotides. RefSeq lists it as uncharacterized. The transcript is spliced from 4 exons. The record is from RefSeq and is a predicted model, not a curated record. NCBI's taxonomy places the organism in Eukaryota, Viridiplantae, Streptophyta, Magnoliopsida, Fabales, Fabaceae.
CUGAGAUACUAGAAGCUGUGGAUGAUUGGAAACGUCCUCCUUGUUCUUUCUUUAUCAGUGUGCCUCUAUAGUUAUAUGACUAGCUGUGACUUCUUGCUUCUGCCACCACUAAUUGAAGUUCAUCUGUCGCCUUUUUUUCACCCAUGUUUGUCAGCUAUGACGGGGAUUGGAUCGUUGGAAUUCUCUUCCCCUAUCAUCAUUUUUUGCUGUGUUUCAAUGUGAGACACAUGGAGGGUUUUAGUGAAGAUGUAGUUGACACGUCCAGCGCAACUUACAAGAAAAGAGGUAAAGGAAGUACAAAAUUGAAGGAGUAAACACUAUGUUAAGGCACUAUAGAGAGAGUUCAUUUAGAGUUUGGUGGUUGUAAAAGACUACUUGGUCCAAAAGUGGACAAGUUUGUAACUUACAUAGGUCUCAUAACUUGGAGUAAAGUUGGCAUCUUGUAUCGUAAUUGACAAGAAGUACCAGAAGCUAAGAAGGACA